CAGAGCAAAAUCUGUUUCUCUGUCUGUUGUGUGCUAUUCAGUUUCCAUCUGCAGCAGGGAACUGUUUGCUUGCUGAUGUUUAUUAGCAAAGGGGUUAAUUUCCAACCUGUUUUGGCCAGUGCCCCUCAAAAGAUGGUCUGAGAAGGUGGAUGGGGCAGGGCUUCAGAUGAUGUGGCUCCUGUAACAGCACUAAAACCCCAGCUGACUGCUCUUCAUCCAUCUUGCUUUUGGGAGAGGCACUGAGCAGGUGGCAAAAGCAGAAGAAAGUGAUAACCAAAUAGCCUGGCAACAGCCUCUGCACACAGUUUCUGUCUCUGUGGAGGAGGUGCUACUCAGUUUACUGUGCCAUUAAAAUUCAGAACAGUUCCCCGUUGUGGCCACAGUUUACGACAGCAAAGCUGUGUUACAGUUUGGACCCACCUCAGCAAACCUCGCUCUAGAUGCAGCACUGAACUUCUGCCAUUGGCAUCUGAGCAGCAUCUGGCUGUGCCAGGAGGGAUCCACUGUAACUGCACACACCAGGUCUUGGCUCCUCCUCUGCUGCGCCGCUGCCUGCAGUCAGUUCUGCAUCGGUGCCCGGCGCCUUUCACAGGAGGAGAUGGGGCACUGCUGCCAUCAUCUCAGCCCGGCUCUGCUGUCCUGCUGCCUUGCAGAGCAGGGUGGAUAGUAAACCUGGAUAAAAGCU
Molecule: long non-coding RNA, 685 nt
Organism: Hirundo rustica (Barn swallow)
Lineage: Eukaryota; Metazoa; Chordata; Aves; Passeriformes; Hirundinidae
Exons: 2
Source: RefSeq, a predicted model, not a curated record